Molecule: ribosomal RNA, 256 nt
Filed under: uncultured bacterium
Lineage: Bacteria
Description: partial 16S ribosomal RNA
Rfam family: Bacterial small subunit ribosomal RNA
Source: RNAcentral
UACGUAGGGUGCGAGCGUUGUCCGGAAUUAUUGGGCGUAAAGAGCUUGUAGGCGGUUUGUCGCGUCUGCUGUGAAAAUCCGGGGCUCAACCCCGGACUUGCAGUGGGUACGGGCAGACUAGAGUGUGGUAGGGGAGACUGGAAUUCCUGGUGUAGCGGUGAAAUGCGCAGAUAUCAGGAGGAACACCGAUGGCGAAGGCAGGUCACUGGGCCGCAACUGACGCUGGAGGAAGCGGAAAGCAUGGGGAGCGAACAGG